UACGUAGGGGGCAAGCGUUAUCCGGAAUUACUGGGUGUAAAGGGAGCGUAGACGGUGAUGUAAGUCUGGAGUGAAAGGCGGGGGCCCAACCCCCGGACUGCUCUGGGAACUAUAUGACUGGAGUGCAGGAGAGGUGAGCGGAAUUCCUAGUGUAGCGGUGAAAUGCGUAGAUAUUAGGAGGAACACCAGUGGCGAAGGCGGCUCACUGGACUGUAACUGACGUUGAGGCUCGAAAGCGUGGGGAGCAAACAGG
Molecule: ribosomal RNA, 253 nt
Filed under: uncultured bacterium
Lineage: Bacteria
Description: partial 16S ribosomal RNA
Rfam family: Bacterial small subunit ribosomal RNA
Source: RNAcentral